AUUGAACGCUGGCGGCCGGCCUAACACAUGCAAGUCGAACGGAGCGGCGGACGGGUAAGUCCUGCCUAGGAAUCUGCAUGGUAGUGGGGGAUUACGUCCGGAACCGGGCGCUACUACCGCAUACUACAAGAUGCGCAUAGGUCGGAUUAGCUAGUUGGGGGGGAAAAGGCCUACCAAGGCGACGAGCCGUAACUGGUCUGAGAGGAUGAUCAGUCACACUGGAACUGAGACACGGUCCAGAAUCCUACGGGAGGCAGCGUUGGGGAAGAUUGGACAAUGGGCGAAAGCCUGAUCCAGCCAUGCCGCGUGUAUGAAGAAGGCCUUCGGAUUGUAAAGCACUUUAAGUUGGGAGGCGUUAUCAACAGAAUAAGCACCGGCUAACUUCGUGCCAGCAGCCGCGGUAAUAC
RNAcentral lists this ribosomal RNA (407 nucleotides) under uncultured bacterium. RNAcentral describes it as "partial 16S ribosomal RNA". It matches the Rfam family "Bacterial small subunit ribosomal RNA", at positions 30 to 526 of the family's 1533-position model. The record is from RNAcentral.